Molecule: ribosomal RNA, 406 nt
Filed under: uncultured bacterium
Lineage: Bacteria
Description: bacterial SSU rRNA
Rfam family: Bacterial small subunit ribosomal RNA
Source: RNAcentral
UGGGGAAUAUUGCACAAUGGGGGAAACCCUGAUGCAGCAACGCCGCGUGAAGGAUGAAGGUUUUCGGAUCGUAAACUUCUUUGAUGAGGGAUGAAAAAAAUGACGGUACCUCAAAAACAAGCCACGGCUAACUACGUGCCAGCAGCCGCGGUAAUACGUAGGUGGCGAGCGUUGUCCGGAAUUACUGGGUGUAAAGGGCGUGUAGGCGGGAAGGUAAGUCAGAUGUGAAAUUCCAUGGCUCAACUGUGGCACUGCAUCUGAAACUAUCUUUCUUGAGUGAUGGAGAGGAAAGCGGAAUUCCUAGUGUAGCGGUGAAAUGCGUAGAUAUUAGGAGGAACACCAGUGGCGAAGGCGGCUUUCUGGACAUUAACUGACGCUGAGGCGCGAAAGCGUGGGGAGCAAACAG